GACGAACGCUGGCGGCGUGCUUAACACAUGCAAGUCGAACGGAAAGGCCCUGCUUUUGUGGGGUGCUCGAGUGGCGAACGGGUGAGUAACACGUGAGUAACCUGCCCUUGACUUUGGGAUAACUUCAGGAAACUGGGGCUAAUACCGGAUAGGAGCUCCUGCUGCAUGGUGGGGGUUGGAAAGUUUCGGCGGGUGGGGAUGGACUCGCGGCUUAUCAGCUUGUUGGUGGGGUAGUGGCUUACCAAGGCUUUGACGGGUAGCCGGCCUGAGAGGGUGACCGGCCACAUUGCGACUGCGGUACGGCGCAGACGCCUACGGGAGGCAGCAGUGGGGAAUAUUGCACAAUGGGCGGAAGCCUGAUGCAGCAACGCCGCGUGCGGGAUGACGGCCUUCGGGUUGUAAACCGCUGUCGCCUGUGACGAAGCGUGAGUGACGGUAAUGGGUAAAGAAGCACCGGCUAACUACGUG
Molecule: ribosomal RNA, 468 nt
Filed under: uncultured bacterium
Lineage: Bacteria
Description: partial 16S ribosomal RNA
Rfam family: Bacterial small subunit ribosomal RNA
Source: RNAcentral